Molecule: long non-coding RNA, 336 nt
Filed under: Setaria viridis
Lineage: Eukaryota; Viridiplantae; Streptophyta; Magnoliopsida; Poales; Poaceae
Description: long non-coding RNA (SVIR_LNC004322)
Source: RNAcentral
GAAGAUAAGAGAUAAGGGGGGGAGGAAGAUAAGAGAUAAGGGGGAGAAGAAGAGAGAGGGAGAGGGAUAGAGAGAGAGAGUAAAAGAUAUGGUAUGGAGAAGCCCACACAUGUGCUUUGAAUUUUUCAUUUUGUAGAGGUGGGUGAGCCUGUCGUCCACUCCUGGAAAUUAAUUUCUAGGAGAGGAUGAUGGGUACCCCACCUUUGGAAUUAGAGUCAUUUCCAGGGUGGACAAUGGGGUGAUCCGAACAUGAGAUAUUUUUAGGAUGGGUCAUCCCGUCGUCCACCCCUAGGAAUUUCUUCUAUUUUUAGGAGCGGGUCACCCCAUGACCUGCUC